Molecule: ribosomal RNA, 439 nt
Filed under: uncultured bacterium
Lineage: Bacteria
Description: partial 16S ribosomal RNA
Rfam family: Bacterial small subunit ribosomal RNA
Source: RNAcentral
CUACGGGCGGCUCCAGUGGGGGAUAUUGCACAAUGGAGGAAACUCUGAUGCAGCGAUGCCGCGUGGAGGAAGAAGGUUUUCGGAUUGUAAACUCCUGUCUUUGGGGGCGAUAAUGACGGUACCCAAAGAGGAAGCUCCGGCUAACUACGUGCCAGCAGCCGCGGUAAUACGUAGGGAGCGAGCGUUGUCCGGAAUUACUGGGUGUAAAGGGAGUGUAGGCGGGACUGCAAGUCAGAUGUGAAAACUAUGGGCUCAACCCAUAGACUGCAUUUGAAACUGUGGUUCUUGAGUGAAGUAGAGGUUGGCGGAAUUCCUAGUGUAGCGGUGGAAUGCGUAGAUAUUAGGAGGAACAUCAGUGGCGAAGGCGGCCAACUGGGCUUUUACUGACGCUAAGGCUCGAAAGCGUGGGGAGCAAACAGGAUUAGAUACCCGCGUAGUC